ACUUCAGAAAAAUUCUUUUGCAUUUGAUUUCUUCUACACAGUUGAAUGGCCGUGUUACAGGGUUUCUGGAUUCUUUCUCUUUCUCUGCCGUAGCGACGUUGGUGUGGGCAUAAGUUACACCACCAACCGUCUCGCAAAAUCCAUAAAGCAUAUACAGAGAAGAAGGAGGGGGUUUUCUGGUGGCCAACUUCAUCUUGCACAUGAUGAGCCACCUUCCCGUUCAAGGUGAGAGUGGGAACAGUGAAAAUGGGGAAUGCAAAACACCAUUAAGGAGUAGAGGAAUGAAAAAAAAAACAUCCAUACUUGGGUUUUGUUGGCGUGAUAAUGCUAACAUUUAUAGUCAGGUAAUCAUCCAUUUCAUUUUAUGAUGAUUAAGUUGAGAAAUUUAGAAAUAAAUAUAGUGGUCUUGGUGGACUUAAUACGCUGGUGGAAUUCUUCUUUAUUUUACAGGUGAGAUUAGUCUUCCUUCUCAAAUACAAUUUUUCACAAGUAUUGCAGUUCAAUAGUGGAUUUUACUAAUGGUGAUAACGUCUAUAACUAUCAUUUCCUGCUUCGACUUAAUUUUGUUGUACUAAUUGUCAUUUGUUGACCAAAAUCAUUCAUAAAAAUGCUUUCUUCGGCAACUUCUCCCACAUUUCUAUGAAUUGUUGCAAAAUUUAGUUACUAUUAGAUUUUAGAGAACAAGUUAUUUGUCUGUUCAAACUAUUCACUUUUGACAAAUUUAUUGUUUUAUAGCGCAGAAACCAUUACAAACUUCGGACACCAAUAAACUGAUAAACACGUGCAGAUUUGGUUUGUGAGGUCUCCCAGGCUCCAUUGGAGAUUCGGGUUGUAUAUCGUGUUGUUGUACAAAGAAGGGUAACUUUCAGUCUGAAGUUCUCUUUGGUCCCUCUUAACAUCCUUUAUUUCCCAGGAUUUUGUUCAUAUGGUUAGUUGUUGUAAAUGUAACUGAGUUUCGCAAAUCAAUUACUCAAUUACGUACCUGCAGAAUCACAGACUUUGGGUGUACUCUUCAAUGUACUCAAGCCAGCACAGAAAUUCUUCAAAAAUAAUAUCCACAAAAUGCACACCGAACUACUUACUGUGCCUGAAGGAACUUAUGUAGGUUCGCGUCAUUGAAAAUAUACUUAAAUGAUGCUUCAAGGAGGGCACUCCUAGCAGAACUUAAAAUGUACCACACCCUGGGAAGUUUUUAGUCGAAAAUUGCACUCAUUGAAGACGACGUGACGAAAUAAUCAAGAAGAUGCCACUAAAAGAAUUGCUUAUAGAAUCUUCCCUAAAUAUAUGGUUGAUUUUAGAAUCAUUGAAAUUCUUCGUACAUUUAACUUUUCUACCGUUUCAAAUUUUACUGUUUAGUACUUAAUCUCUUGCUUUCCCUUAAUUUUGUUGUUGUUAAGUUGAAGUGAUUUUUAUUUGACCUUUUUUUUUUCCA
Papaver somniferum (opium poppy) is the source of this 1432-nucleotide long non-coding RNA. RefSeq lists it as uncharacterized. Lineage: Eukaryota; Viridiplantae; Streptophyta; Magnoliopsida; Ranunculales; Papaveraceae. The transcript is spliced from 2 exons. The record is from RefSeq and is a predicted model, not a curated record.